Molecule: transfer RNA, 65 nt
Filed under: Camelus ferus (Wild Bactrian camel)
Lineage: Eukaryota; Metazoa; Chordata; Mammalia; Artiodactyla; Camelidae
Rfam family: tRNA
About the family: Transfer RNA (tRNA) molecules are approximately 80 nucleotides in length. Their secondary structure includes four short double-helical elements and three loops (D, anti-codon, and T loops).
Source: Rfam by way of RNAcentral
GGGGGAAUAGCUCAGUGGUAGAGUGCACACACUUGAGGUCCUGGGUUCAAUCCCCAGGACCUCCA